UACGAAGGGGGCUAGCGUUGCUCGGAAUCACUGGGCGUAAAGGGUGCGUAGGCGGGUCUUUAAGUCAGGGGUGAAAUCCUGGAGCUCAACUCCAGAACUGCCUUUGAUACUGAGGAUCUUGAGUUCGAGAGAGGUGGAGGUGGAACUGCGAGUGUAGAGGUGAAAUUCGUAGAUAUUCGCAAGAACACCAGUGGCGAAGGCGGCUCACUGGCCCGAUACUGACGCUGAGGCACGAAAGCGUGGGGAGCAAACAGG
Molecule: ribosomal RNA, 255 nt
Filed under: uncultured bacterium
Lineage: Bacteria
Description: partial 16S ribosomal RNA
Rfam family: Bacterial small subunit ribosomal RNA
Source: RNAcentral